AUUGAACGCUGGCGGCAUGCCUUACACAUGCAAGUCGAACGGCAGCACGGGUGCUUGCACCUGGUGGCGAGUGGCGAACGGGUGAGUAAUACAUCGGAACAUGUCCUGUAGUGGGGGAUAGCCCGGCGAAAGCCGGAUUAAUACCGCAUACGAUCUACGGAUGAAAGCGGGGGACCUUCGGGCCUCGCGCUAUAGGGUUGGCCGAUGGCUGAUUAGCUAGUUGGUGGGGUAAAGGCCUACCAAGGCGACGAUCAGUAGCUGGUCUGAGAGGACGACCAGCCACACUGGGACUGAGACACGGCCCAGACUCCUACGGGAGGCAGCAGUGGGGAAUUUUGGACAAUGGGCGAAAGCCUGAUCCAGCAAUGCCGCGUGUGUGAAGAAGGCCUUCGGGUUGUAAAGCACUUUUGUCCGGAAAGAAAUCCUUGGCUCUAAUACAGUCGGGGGAUGACGGUACCGGAAGAAUAAGCACCGGCUAACACGUG
RNAcentral lists this ribosomal RNA (485 nucleotides) under uncultured bacterium. RNAcentral's name for it is "partial 16S ribosomal RNA". It matches the Rfam family "Bacterial small subunit ribosomal RNA", at positions 30 to 507 of the family's 1533-position model. The record is from RNAcentral.